This 367-nucleotide ribosomal RNA is filed under the name Stramenopiles sp. RNAcentral describes it as "partial small subunit ribosomal RNA". It matches the Rfam family "Eukaryotic small subunit ribosomal RNA", at positions 582 to 975 of the family's 1831-position model. The record is from RNAcentral.
AUUCCAGCUCCGGUAGCGUAUACUAAUGUUGUUGCAGUUGAAAAGCUCGUAGUUGAACUUCUGGUGGGCGAGCCGGGGCCUCGGCGCUUUGCGCCUUGUUGCUCAUGGCUGGCUAGCCAUCCUCGGGGGUUUCGGCCCCCGUCUUUUACUGUAAAAAAAUUAGAGUGUUCCAAGCAGGAGGUAGCUCCUGUAUCUGAUAGUAUGGGAUAAUGAGAUAGGGCUUUUGCGCUAUUUUGUUGGUUUGCACGCAAGAGUAAUGAUGAAUAGGGACAGUUGGGGGUAUUCGUAUUUAAUUGUCAGAGGUGAAAUUCUUGGAUUUAUGAAAGACGAACGACUGCGAAAGCAUUUAUCAUGGAUGUUUUCAUCA